This 600-nucleotide ribosomal RNA is filed under the name uncultured bacterium. Its description in RNAcentral is "bacterial SSU rRNA". It matches the Rfam family "Bacterial small subunit ribosomal RNA", at positions 11 to 605 of the family's 1533-position model. The record is from RNAcentral.
GUUUGAUCAUGGCUCAGAUUGAACGCUGGUGGCAUGCUUAACACAUGCAAGUCGAACGGUACAGGACUAGCUUGCUAGUUGCUGACGAGUGGCGGACGGGUGAGUAACGCGUAGGAAUCUACCCAUCUGAGGGGGAUACCAGUUGGAAACGACUGUUAAUACCGCAUAGUAUCUGUGGAUUAAAGGUGGCUUUUGGGCUGUCGCAGAUGGAUGAGCCUGCGCUGGAUUAGCUAGUUGGUGGGGUAAGGGCCUACCAAGGCUACGAUCCAUAGCUGAUUUGAGAGGAUGAUCAGCCACAUUGGGACUGAGACACGGCCCAAACUCCUACGGGAGGCAGCAGUGAGGAAUAUUGGACAAUGGGGGCAACCCUGAUCCAGCAAUGCCAUGUGUGUGAAGAAGGCCUUAGGGUUGUAAAGCACUUUAGUUGGGGAAGAAAGCUUUGAGGUUAAUAGCCUUGAGGAAAAGGACGUUACCCAAAGAAUAAGCACCGGCUAACUCCGUGCCAGCAGCCGCGGUAAUACGGGGGGUGCAAGCGUUAAUCGGAAUUACUGGGCGUAAAGGGUCUGUAGGUGGUUUGUUAAGUCAGAUGUGAAAGCCUAG